GGGCGGGGAGGGGGGGAACGCCUAAAAAACCGUCAAAACCGCACGUAACCGCCGGUUUUCGAGUCUUACACAUCCGCGACGCAUAAACGUAUAAUUAUAAAUAUAUUAUUGUUUCUCCGUUAUAACAAUCGAUAGAAAAAAAAAAAAAAAAAUCAAAAAAAUCCGAAUUAACGUUGUACACAAUACCGCGAUUAACGCCUGUACUAUAACAUUUAGCCGUGGUUUUUCGUUUUAGGGUUAUUAACAUCGUUUCGCGUUCAAACGGCACCGCUGACGGGCCAUAUUAUAAUUGUUCGUGUCCGAUUCACAAUAGGUGCGUAUUAUUAUAUUUCAAGCGCAAUUAUUAUUAUGGUAUUUUUAAAUGCGACCGAUCAUAUUGGGUCGCUGUACAUAGUUUAUUAUGUAUGUGCGAUUAACGUAAACCGUAUACUUUCCGUGUAAUUAUAUUAUGCGCCUACAUAGUGUACGAUUUUCGUGCGCCUAAUUACGUUGGUUGGGGAAAUCGAACUGAAACCCGAAUAAUGAAUAUAUACAGAGUUGAAAACAAAAAAAAUUUAAAAAAAAAAAAC
Molecule: non-coding RNA, 569 nt
Organism: Cinara cedri
Lineage: Eukaryota; Metazoa; Arthropoda; Insecta; Hemiptera; Aphididae
Source: the annotation of a GenBank genome assembly